This 1110-nucleotide ribosomal RNA is filed under the name Triticum aestivum (bread wheat). Its description in RNAcentral is "partial small subunit ribosomal RNA". Lineage: Eukaryota; Viridiplantae; Streptophyta; Magnoliopsida; Poales; Poaceae. The record is from RNAcentral.
AUGACGACACACAAGAUUGAGAACGCCGAAUUCACAGUUUUGACAGUCAAGAAACGCCGACAGUGCACUCUUGAUGAUGUGUUGAACUACGGGGCACAGUUUGUGUCAUUUUUUAACGAGUGUCUGAAUGCAUUUACUGGUUUGACGCGCCUCUACAUGGAGAAUUUGAGAUUUGUUGAAUCUGACUUCGUCUCCAACAUCUUCGUCACUUGCAAGCGAUUAAACUACUUAGGUUUUCUCAAUUGCGACACACAGAAGCGUUUAACACUCCAGGUUGAACACGCUCAGCUCAGUGAGCUCAGUAUGGUCAACUGCCGUUUUUACAAAGUCGAACUCAAGUGGCUCCCAAGACUCACCCGGACAACGUUCACAUGUUGGAUGGAUUUCGAAGAACUACCACUGUCAUUUGGUCAUGUCCCACUGCUCGAGUUUUUGAACCUCACAAAUGUUGGUCUUAGUCGGCACAAAAUGGUCAUGUUAAGUACAUUACUUUGUGAGACACACAUACAAGAACUGCGGUUGGGGUUUAAAUGCGAAAAGAUUUGGGUUCAACCAGAGUGUCUGAGCGAAAGGCUGGCAUCUGCGUUCCACAGACUAAGGAUUGUCAGUCUAGUUUGCAUUCCUGAAGGGUCUGAUCUCAAGUGGACAAAUUUCAUUCUGGAAGCUGCGCCAUCACUUGAAGAGUUGUACAUGUCGGUAAUUGAUCAUCCGUGUGAAAUGAUAAUUGAUCCGAAAAUGAGGAUGGAACUCUCGCUUAGCGAGAACAAGGGCGUCGAGUGGGAAUCACCUAGACCACAUUUCAAGCACCGCCGCCUUGCCAAGCUCGUCAUCUUUUGCUUUGUAAAUUACAUGGUGAGUUAUGUCAGGCGUGUCAUGAUAGCAGCGGUGAAUCUGAAGGAUGUGUACCUGUAUGAUAGACUGGCAUGUAGCAAGUGCAAACACAUGGCCGUUUUUAAGCCUGGUAGGCUUCCACGGGCAAAGAAGAAGUUGAAAGCGAUGAAGAAGCUGUUGGCCCAGGGCAUCGAGUCAGCUCCCAGAAUUCACUUGCAGACCCAUUCUGAAAUGGACGCUGACCAUGCUGCAAGGAUUAAAGACUACUUAUGUUCAUGA